Molecule: long non-coding RNA, 1123 nt
Organism: Homo sapiens (human)
Lineage: Eukaryota; Metazoa; Chordata; Mammalia; Primates; Hominidae
Gene: GPC5-AS2
Product: GPC5 antisense RNA 2
Source: Ensembl
AGAGGAAACAGAGAGGAACUAACAUGCAGAGGACAGAGAGAGGAACUAACGUGCAGAGGACAGAGAGAGAAUUAAUAGUGCUAAUCGUGCAAAUGGCUUUUGCCUCUUUUCUCUAAUCCCUCCUUUUUGCCCCAACAAUGGAGGAAUCAGGACCAGAGAAGAGGGGUUCAUUUGUGGAAUAGCCCCUUCUCUGUGGCAUUGAUAUGGCAUGCCAAUUUUGUCAUAUAAUGAGGUUCCACACAAGCAUGGUUCUGUUUCUCAGCAUUCUGACUGUUUCUGCACCUAUGCCACACUGAAUAACCAAAGCUCAAGAGUUAAGUCAUCUGGUUUAACAGUUCUGGAGGCUGGGAAGUGCAAGACCAAGAUAUGAACAGAUUCAUUAUCUGGUUCAAAGCCAGGAGCAGUGGCAAAGCACCUGUUGUCCCAGCUACUUGAGAGGCUGGAGCUGGAAGAUCACUUAAGGCCAAGAGUUCAAGACCAGCCCGGAUGACAUAGAGAGAUUCCCAUCUUUUUUAAAAAAGUUAGGUUCAGUCAGAUUUCAGAAACUGAGAGUAGACACUCUAGGAUUUGAUUGCAUUGACUUGCUUAAUGUUCAUUUUUGGCUUGGAUCAUGAAUAUAGUCUUUGGAUAAAGGGUUACUUUCCCCAAUUUGACUUGUUUUCAUCAUUGUAUACCAUGACUGUUUCCUUGAAAAUAAACUACAUAAUUACCAUUUUCAUACAACUUUACUAUGGAAAUGUGUAAUAUGUAACUAUUUCCUGAUUGUGUCCUUAAUUAAUAAUCCAGAAUUCCAUCUCUACUCAAACAACAUCAAAUACUAAGGCAGUAUUAAUUUUAGUAAAAUAUUUAAACAUACAUCUUAGUUUGCUAUAAAAAGUGAACACUUAGCUACGUGCUCAUUUUCAUAUAUAUGUUUUUUUUGUUCAUAGGUACAGAUACCCUGCAUAUUUUUGGCCUCAUAUGAAGAAAGAAAUGUUUUUGAAAGUUUACGUGUGUGCAUUUAUCAUCAUAAAUACAUUUAAUUCAUUGUAAAGACAUAGCAAGAUAAUCAGCUGUCUGAUAAUUAUAAGGUGUUGAUUAGAAAAUAGGUACUUACUUUAAAUAAAAUUGUUAUAUUAAACUA